UUUUAGCCCGGAUAGAAAUGGAAAUCCUGUCAUUGCGAGGCACGAAGCAAUCUGCUCACCGGAUUGCUUCGUGCCUCGCAAUGACAGAUUGUAAUGGAUAGCCGGACAAAUU
RNAcentral lists this small RNA (112 nucleotides) under Halpernia frigidisoli. RNAcentral's name for it is "Flavo-1 RNA". It matches the Rfam family "Flavo-1 RNA". The record is from Rfam by way of RNAcentral. Lineage: Bacteria; Pseudomonadati; Bacteroidota; Flavobacteriia; Flavobacteriales; Weeksellaceae.